GGUCUCAUAGGGGUCUCAUAGAGGUCUCAUAGAGGUCUCAUAGAGGUCUCAUAGGGAUCUCAUAGAGGUCUCAUAGAGGUCUCAUAGAGGUCUCAUAGAGGUCUCAUAGGGGUCUCAUAGAGGUCUCAUAGA
This is a long non-coding RNA of Oncorhynchus keta (chum salmon), 132 nucleotides long. RefSeq lists it as uncharacterized. The record is from RefSeq and is a predicted model, not a curated record. Lineage: Eukaryota; Metazoa; Chordata; Actinopteri; Salmoniformes; Salmonidae. The transcript has 4 exons.